Molecule: non-coding RNA, 97 nt
Organism: Acanthosepion pharaonis
Lineage: Eukaryota; Metazoa; Mollusca; Cephalopoda; Sepiida; Sepiidae
Source: the annotation of a GenBank genome assembly
UUGAAACACCAGUUCUUGUACAAUCUCUGAAGUUAAGCAAUGUUGAGCCUAGUCAGUACCUAGAUAGGUGACCACUUGGGAAUUCCAGGUGCUGUUA